GACGGAGGAUGCAAGUGUUAUCCGGAAUCACUGGGCGUAAAGCGUCUGUAGGUGGUUUAAUAAGUCAACUGUUAAAUCUUGAGGCUCAACUUCAAAAUCGCAGUCGAAACUAUUAGGCUAGAGUAUAGUAGGGGUAAAGGGAAUUUCCAGUGGAGCGGUGAAAUGCGUAGAGAUUGGAAAGAACACCGAUGGCGAAGGCACUUUACUGGGCUAUUACUAACACUCAGAGACGAAAGCUAGGGUAGCAAAUGGG
Molecule: ribosomal RNA, 253 nt
Filed under: uncultured bacterium
Lineage: Bacteria
Description: partial 16S ribosomal RNA
Rfam family: Bacterial small subunit ribosomal RNA
Source: RNAcentral